AUCAGAUGCUGCCCUUGUGGCCAGUUGGGUUCCCACCCACCUGAUUCUGGAGCCCUGGACCAGAGCCCUACGUUCACCAUGGGAAGAGACCUUGUGAUAAGCCACUCCUGAAGGCAUGGCCUAACUCUGGACACAGGUGGACAGUGGGUCACCACCAGGCUUGGCCACCACCCAGAUCCCCUUGGACCAGGAGAUCAAGGCUUCGUGCUCCAUCAAGGACAUGAAACAAAACAAUGGGGAGGAAUAAAACAGGAGACCUAAAAAGGAGGCUGGCCUUUGCCCCACGGCCUUGGCUGCAGCACCAUCACAUGCCUCCACGCCUCUCCAUCUCCUCAUGAAGAUCUCUCUCCAGAUAGAGACCAUUUCCUCCCUAGAGGAAUCCUUGUACUAUCCGUAGGUGAGAACACUUCACCUCAUUACCUGGAUGUGGAGUGUUGAAGCUGGAAGGGAUCCCAGAGAUCGGAAACUCCCCAGGAGUUUGGAUGCUUCAUCUCUGCUGAGACCCAGUGCCUGGCACUGAAGGUGCUCAGGAAAUACCUUCUGAAUGAUCGGAAGCCCCUGCCAUCUGCUAAACUGGAUCUAUGAUGACAGAAGCCGAGGAAUGUGAGGUUCAUCUAGAGAGUUCUUGUGAAUUUUCCAAGGAGGCACCUGUUGAAUUCAGGCAUCGGCAUGUGACUUGAUUUGGUCAAUGAAAUGUGAGAGAAGUGACAUCCACUUUGAGGCAGGCACUUUCCGAUGCCAUCAAGCUGAGAUGUGAAGCGGAAGUGAGGCAGAGGCUCCCUUCCUUUUGUUUGGCGCAGUUUUCUGUGAGAGAGCAGAGGUGGGAGAUGAGGGGACCUCUGCCCCAGUGUUUCUGCAUCCAAGCUCCAGCCUUGUUGAAGUUGCCCCGACGGCCACUCUCCAUACUGCUGCCAGAAGAACCUUGAAAUAUCGCUCUUUUUAAUUAAAAAGCAAAACUCUUCAAUUGUUUUUGUUGCAUUUAAAGUUCAAACUUCUUACCACGGAGUGAAAGGCCCCACACAAUUGGCCCUGUCUUCUUCUCCAACUUCCAUUUUUCUUUGGUCCACCGUGUUCUAGCCGCAUGGGCCCUGUCUUGAUUCCUUGUACAUGUCAAGCUUACUCUUGCUCCAGAGCCUGUGUGGUAGUUGUUCCCUCUGCCUGGAAUGGCCUUCCCUAGAACCUGCCUUGGCUGGUUCUUCUUGCUAUUCAAACCUCAGCUCCCACAUCACCUCCUGUGUUAGGCCUCCCUGGACCACUCUAAUUAAAUUAGUACUGGAGACAUCAGUCCACCUGGCUUCAGGGGCCAGGCCUUCCUCUUGCAGCCUAGAGGCUCUUUGCAGACUGCUCAAAGCUCCCUUUGCACAACUCAACCUGGCAGUGGGGCCUUACUUUCUAUUUUUAUGAUCUCAGGGAUGUCUAGAGACCUCGUUGGCCUGGCUACAGUACAUCCUAACCGGGCAUUGAGUUGGAGGAACUCAGGAGCUUAUAAUCUGGCCUAGCUCCUCCAAGUUAGUCAGUUACCAAGUGGAGAAGAGAAGCCCUUUACCAUUGAAUUUUUAAUUGUACUGGAAACUGCCUAACCCUUUGGUAGAACAAUAAAGGGAAAUUUGGUGACUUGGUCUAGAGGCCUGGGGCAAGUAGCAACAGAGAUGAGGUUAGAAAGAUUUUUAACAUGUGGGCUUUCUUUUGUCAUUAAAAGAGAAAAACAAGCUCUUACAAUGUUUGAAGGAAACCGUCAUGCAAUUUCCAAGUAGUUAUUGGAUUCUGUCUGUGACCAAGACAUUGAAGGACUUGGGCUGAGCUUUGGGGCCACUGGAGUAUGAAGAGGCCCCUUUUGUCAUGGAGCUGACUUCUAGGAAGGGAGACAGGGCAGAGGCAAAGGGCGCAGGGACUACACCAUGGAGUGCCAUGCUGCAUCAGGCACUGUGUUUGGGUUUCCAUACACACAGAGCAAUUAACACACAGCAGGCUGUGUGUACCUGGACCCAAGGGGCUGGCCAGGCAGAGAGGUCUGGGACUGCCCAGGAAGGGGAGCAGGUGAUGUCUGAGGAGCAGAGGGGAUGAGAAAAGGCUUCCUGCAGGAGAUGGACUUGGAACUGGCUCCAGGUGCACCGUGGGCUCUGAACACACACUACUGAAAUAAUGGGCCAUGAAAUUCAUUCCUCCAGCACUAUUCUGCUUCUCUGUCACUUCUCCUUUCCCCAUCAUUUCCUUCCCCGGCUGGAGAGCACUCAGGAAUGCCUUGCUGUGCCCAGUCAGGCCUCUGGAGUCCACCCUACCUAGCUGAUGUAUUAUUAUCACCAGCAAACACACACCAGAGGCUGUAUCUUGGCUGGGAAGCACAUUAGCACCUUGGAAGCCCUUCUUGGAAAAAGUAAAAGAUUGGCAUUUGAGCCUCCUCAUUGAUUCCUUUGGAUGAGGCAGAAAACCGCUGCCCAGAAGGAUGAAGGGGUGAAGUGGAAAAACAUGGGCUGGCUUCAAAGUGGAGCACAGGAGGCUAGGAAUAGUUCUGCUUUGUGAACAAAGUCGUGCAAAAGGCAGAGAGAGAGAGAGAGAGAGACAAAGAUAGAGAGCGCAGGAGAGCGAGGAGGGAGGGAGUCAGCUUUGGCUAAUUUGAAUUUUGAAUUGCCUUGAAAAUCACCGUGCAGCAGUAUCCAAUUCUGCCUUUGAUGGUCGAAAGAAACCAGCUGCUUUUAUUCCUCUUCAGGUCUUGUUUUCCCCCCAGCAGUGAAGCAAAUUAAGCAAAGAAACAGUGAAAGUUGUAGUUGGUAUAAUAUCUCAGGCCAAGGUCAGGCUAAUUGUUGGUGGGAGGGGCGGUAGAGACAAGGGACACACUCUAGGUGUUGAUAUUUCUCACUCCUGCUCCAUUCUGCUCCCCAUAAUGUCACUUUGGCAUUUCCAAACACGACCACCUUGGCAGGCUUUCUUUACAAACUAAGGCCCUUGUUCUAACCACCAGCAUUCCUAUACUAUGCCAUGCAUUCGGGCAGGUAAGAUAUGGUCCCUUUGCCCAAGUCGGGCUAAAGGAGUGGCAAACCUUGAAACACACCCCAAGAUAUCCCAUAAUGCUGUUCUUAAUUUGCAACAUCAGCAGGGCAGGUAUUUGCUAGUGAGCGUAGCCUCAUUUUUUCCUGCUGCCUCAUUUUUAUCAACUCAGUUGUAAAAAUUAAUAUCAUGGAGGCUUCCUUGAAAGAUAUGAAAUGCGUACUUCUCCCUAGACAGUCUAAAAUGUACCUUUGUAUCAAAUUUAAGCAGCCAUCUGGGAAGCUUGCCUGUGCUGUUUUGGGCCCUGGUAGAGCUCUUUUGAAUGUGUGGCAUGCUGGCAGGAUGCCAGCUGCCUGAGAGGAGGAACCGGGAGUGCUUGACCCCGUGAUGGGUAGAAGAUGGAAAAAUUGUCAUUUCAAAACAGCAGGUGGUUCCUCUCUUGAUAGAGGUGGAGAUUUUCACCUUUUGGGCAAACAUUUCCUUUGUGUGGUUGAAAUUAUCAGAAUGGACCCUUGGGGACAACUGGGCAGUAGUCUGAAUGCUGAUGUUUUAGAUGGGAAUAUGGGGGAUUAAUUUGUUGCGUGUGGUUAUGCCAGAGCAAGGUCUCUCCUUUUUGUCUCCUUCUCUCCCUUCCUUCCUUGUUUUUGAUUGUGCUCUGCUCACCUCCUCCUGGUCCACACACCUUAGUAAGUGGUCAUUGAAUGCUGCUGUCCAGAAGGGGAUUCUCUCUCCUCGGCUGCUUCCUGAGUAAUAAUCAAGCCAAGAUGGAGUCUCUGCAAUUCCAAAUACAUCCUGCUCUACCUGGAUCACUGCCUUGAGCUGGGUGGAAAGUUCUGUCUAUGUCACCACCCUCUUCAAUAACCAGGUGAGGCAGACAUGAUUUCCAUUUGGAGGAUGGAGAACCGAGGCUCAGGACCUCGCCCGUGCAGCCAAGAGGAGACAAAGAUGGCUAGGUCUGGUUCCCAAGCCUAAAGACCAUGAUCUGUCCAGUGUGGAACACUGCAGGCCCCCAAGUUCUGUCAUUUGUAAAGUCAUGGGCUUGUGUGAGUCCCGAGCAAUCAAAGCAGCAGAAGCAAUGCUCCCAAGGGGUGCACGAGGGCCAUGUUUGGAGCCAUGCCAGCUUGCCAAUCCUUGGCAUACUCUGUACAUAGCCAGAUAACUACACAAGCUCACCUCAUCUGCACAAACUCACUCUCUGAACACUUCUAAGGUCACCGAGAAGUCAGGGAAAAAUGAGAACCAGGACAGUCAAAGCCUUUGCCUCUCCUGAAGCUAUGGGGCUUGUUGCCAGAGCCAAAGCCCCUCUUAGCACUCUUAUUACUUCAUUUAACAAACAUAAGGAGAGCCCGGCCCUCUGCUUUUAAGGGUGGAUUCCAUUACUAUUAAGACUUCUGCGGCCCCUGAAAGAUUAACUCAACAGUCACCCCUGUGAAAGCUGAUCCAAGUGGAAAAUCGAGUUAGAAAAUUCCACCUUCCCUUCCCUCACACCUCAGCAGAUUAAGGGGAAGGCCUGAUGCUGAGUUAUGGGGAUUUAUGGGAAUGUGCAGUUGCUGGCUUUUAAACGCUCACUCUUUGGAAUGUUGGCAACCUUGCUUCCUAUAAAUCGUUGCUGGUAUUUCUUAGCCUUUCCUUGCCAGCAACGCGGAGGCCUGCAACACCUUUUCCGUGCAGUAGCCUGUGAAAAUAUUGAAGUCAGGCCCAGAAAAACACCAGCAUUGAAAGGGGAAACUUUGAUGUUUGCUAGUUCUUUUCAGACAACUCUUGCCAAAUCUUAAUUUUUCCAGUUUACAAGUAAGGGAUUCUGACCAUCUGUCUGCUGUCAACCGAUGUUUGUUUGGAUGAAGAUUUUAUUUUUUUCUCCCAAUCUAGCACUCCUGUUCUUACAAGUAGUUUAUUGGACUUCAUAAAUGUCAGCUUUUUGCAGGCAUUUUGUAAGCAGCUUAUGAUUUAGUAUUUAAUCAAAAUUGAGCAGUCAGCGUCUGUAAUCAAUCUGAAGCAGGAGUAACAAUGAGAUUGAAGCUUAAAAUGCACCAGGACCACAAUUUAUGUCUCCCAACUAUCGUUGACUGUUUCUGUAAUAGCAUACCUUGAGAUCUACUCAGAAAUGGCAGACUGGGAGAGAUGGCACUCCCACUUAUUCCACGUGCUCUCCUACACUUCCCAGCCUCCUAGGUGAGGGCUGUGUGGCUUGUUCUGACCAACGCAGGCACACCUUGGGGAUAUGCAGGUUCCAUUCCAGACCACCCCCAACAAAGAGAAAACAAAACCACAGCAGCUUUCAUUGCUGAAAAAGACAAAACUGACUCGUUUGCUUAAUAAGCCCAGACGGAGGAACUUUAUUUCUGGGAGGAAGUGCUGAAGACUCCGGUACAGGCCGGGUGCGGUGGCUCACGCCUGUAAUCCUAGCGCUUUGAGAGGCCAAGGCGGAUGGAUCACGAGGUCAGGAGAUCGAGACCAUCCUGGCUAACACAGUGAAACCCCGUCUCUACUAAAAAUACAAAAACAUUAGCCAGGCAUGGUGGCGGGCGUCUGUAGUCCCAGCUACUCGGGAGGCUGAGGCAGGAGAAUGGCGUGAACCCGGGAGGCGGAGCUUGCAGUGAGCCGAGAUCGGGCCACUGCACUCCAGCCUGGGCGACAGAGCGAGACUCGGUCCCAAAAAAAAAAAAAGACUUCAGUACAAGGAGUCGUGGUUGCGCCGUGAAAUUGCCAGACUCUGCGAUGAGACAUCCUGGGUUGACAGUUUAGAGGUUGAGAGAUUGGUGGGAGGAGGCCACGAGUCCAGGGCUCAGUAGGACUACGGGGCAGAAGCCUGUGCUGCAGAUAGGUGGGACUUUGCAAAAUGGAUCUGCUUGGGGAAACUGAGGCCUCCUCCCACCUCCGACAACAUCCAGACCUCUUUUGCCACUUCUGGUUUCCAAAAAUCCAUUUAUGUAUUUAUUUUCCCUUUUUCUUAUUUUCCCUUAUUAAAUUCAUCUAUUGAUUAAUUCCCAUUUCAUACUUUCUUUUUUUUGAUGAAAUGGAGACUCCUGGAGACAAAGCAGAAAGGAUGCUUGGGGCGGAUUGCCUAGGAUUAUAUUCCAUCUCCAGCACUUACCAGCUGUGUGAUCUUGGGCAAGUGGUUUACCUUCUCUGUGCUUCAAGUUGCUGAGAAAGGUGGGGAGAAAAAUAAGAGCUGGAAAACACAUGGCCCUAAACAGCACUGGCGACUGCCCCUGGCUGCCUCUCUGAAUUCAUGUCACAUCACAACAGCUUGCCUGGCACUUGUUUCCUCAGUUGCUGUUUCCUGGAGCUCCUUCCAUCAGGGUGGGUCUUUCUGACCUGCAAGUCCCCUCCAUACCUCAUAAGCCUUGGGCAGAUGCUCAGUGAGUAUCCACAGUAUGGACGAAAAAUGAUUCAACAGCUUCCUGCACCCAAACCAGGUCAGACCAUCGGGGCUUGAGGAGUAUUACAGAGUGGCAGGAGUAAUAAUAGCUAACAUUCUCCAGGCACCCCCAGUGUGUCCAGCCACUAUACUGAACACUUCACAUAGGUGCUCUCAUUCACUCCUCCAAACGACCCUGAGAGAUAGGAUUGAGGUUUCUGUUUCACAAGUUCAGAGAAGUCAGAUAAUUUGGCCAGGGUCACACAGCUGGUAAAUGCUGAAGUCCAGACACAACCCAGCUCUGUUUGACUCUAGAGCCCAGAGUUAAACAUGUGAUCAUGGGAAAAAUGGCAAGUGUGCAGUUGAGAAGGCUCUGGACACUGCCUCAACUCAAAGUUACUCAAGCUUAACAUCCCCUGCAAGGGGUGAAUGGAUGGGCCCCCAGUAGACUGCCCUGAGAAGGACUUGGCACCCUGUCUGUGAUUUUCCUGCCCAAAGUGCAUGACUUGAAUUUAAUCAUGAAGAAACAGCAUCAGACAUGGCCCAAGUGAGGGACACUCUACAAAACAGCUGGUCUGCAGUCUUCACAAAUGUCAAGGUCAUGAAAGACAAAGAAAGAUGCAGGAACUCUUCCAGAGUAAAGAGACAUGGUGACCAGAUGCCAGGCCUGGUCCUGGAAGGGAUGGUGGACCAGAAAGGACUCGAGAGGGACAAUUGACAAAACGUGAAGGUCACCUGUACACUAGCUCAUGUCUUUGUUAAGUCUCCUGAGUUUGUGGAUGUGGUUGUAUGAGAAAAUAUCCUUGUUUUUAGGAAAUACAUGCUGAAGCCAUUCAGGUUAAAGGGAAUAAUCAUGAUAACAGCAAUCAUGAUGGGUAUAAAUAGAUAGAGAUAAGGCAAAAGUGGCAAAAUGUUAAAUUGGUGAAUCUAGUUUUCCAGGAGGAUUUGCUUGUGCUUAUCUGCAUAGUGAGCCUCAAGAUUCUAUGGGAAUGAACUUAAAAAUCUUCUGGCAAGGCUGGGAGCCCCUGGAGAACCAGACCAUGAAGAAGGAAGCCCCUCCAUCUUCUAAAGAAGGUUGAGAGGUCCCCAGUUUACAGUGAUACA
This 7450-nucleotide long non-coding RNA is filed under the name Homo sapiens (human). Its description in RNAcentral is "long non-coding RNA NONHSAT170965.1". The record is from RNAcentral. Lineage: Eukaryota; Metazoa; Chordata; Mammalia; Primates; Hominidae.